UAUAAUUGAUAGUCAAUUGUUGCAAACAAUGAUUCUGUUAUGUUCAAUAAUGCUUUCUUAUUUUGGUGUUUCAUCUUGUUCGAGGAUAUGUAAAGGAUAUGGCGGAACAACAAAAUGUUGCCUGGGAUAUGUUUGGAAUGAGACUCUUGGAGAAUGCUUAGCCUGCAAUGAUGGUUAUGUUGGGGAAAACUGUACUGAAACGUGUCUUGAACUGUACUAUGGCCGGGAAUGUCGACUUAAAUGCAAUUGUAACAAAGAUCUAUGCAAUCAUGUAGCUGGA
Magallana angulata is the source of this 280-nucleotide long non-coding RNA. RefSeq lists it as uncharacterized. Lineage: Eukaryota; Metazoa; Mollusca; Bivalvia; Ostreida; Ostreidae. The transcript has 3 exons. The record is from RefSeq and is a predicted model, not a curated record.